UGGUAAUCCAACAUUAGGAGUAACGUGCACCGCACACUGACAUCACCAGGUCUUUUCACCUGGAAGCCAUCAGUCUCCUGAGUUGUGGGAGUUCUGUGCCACUCCACAAGAUGGUUGUCAGGUCCAUAAAGAUCUUUAUCCAGUUCAAUGACUAAACUCUUAAAAAAGGAUGAAAACUUUCGUUUCUGUUUGCUGAGGUCAUCCAGGAGCUUCCCCUCCACACGAAGCUCCCAUGAUGCGAUGCUGCCGUCAGAGUCAUCAGCGUCAGAUUUUGCAGGAUUAAAUGUGUUGGAGAUAUAAAGUCUCAGCUUCCGCUUUUGCUUCAUUGGCCUCUUCAGUGCUUCCUGAAUAUCCACGCGCUUCCGCAUAAUGGUCUGGUCUAGUUUGCGUUCAAAAGCCAGCAGAUCCAUGUAGGCCUGGGACUCAGGAACCAACUCCCGGAUCCUCUGAGGGAGAAUUUUGUCAGCCAUCUUCCUCCUCUUGGCACUCCUAGUUCGGUUCUGAGUAGCUUGCUGCUGCUGCUGCACUUGCUGCUGCACCUGCUGUUGUUGGACCUGCUGUGGUGCAGUGCGUUUUCUUGUUGUUUCCAUCACAGUCUGGGGCAUCCCAGGUCUCACCGAGGGGCUUCCAACAUAUGGAGGGCCUGGGGGACCCAUGGGAGCCCCCUGGUGGGGCAUUCGAGCUCCUGAUGGCAUCCCAGGUCGCACCCCAUGGACCAGAAACUCAAAAAGUUUGCUUUUCGUAGCUUUGCGAGCCCCUCCUGUAACUUCGUCUGUAGCCAUCGGGGUCUGCUCAGCCUCUCUCACUCUCUCUCUUCCUCUUUCUUUCCCUUUUCUGCCUUUUUCUCCAACUCUCCCCUCUGAGUCCUGCUGGGCUCUCACACUUCUAAUAGCGCGGAGUGGGGAGGGGGCCCCUUCAGGGCCUUCCUGACGGCCCACUCGCGCUCGGCCUCAGCUGCUGCAUUCCUCCACUGAUAAGCCAGAAAUAGUUUGCGCUGCCGGGCUGUGCGUGUUUACUCUGCGGGGACAGAAAAUCCCGCUUUUUAAACCUCUCUGUCCAAACACCCGAGAUAAGCGGGAGGCAAAUCGAAAACACGUCCCGGCCCCUCGCGGCAGAGCUGCAGCCGCUCCUCCUGGGCGCAGGGGAUGGUAAAUUCUGGGGCAAGGGGGAGGGGGCGGCCUCGGCAGCGGCACCAGCCCGGCUCCCGGGGAGUUUUCCCAUCAGAACAUGCAGCGGGCGGGCGGUGAGAAACAAUGGCUCCCCCCGUUCGCAGCGCUCCGCCCGCGCCGCGCUCCAGGCCCCGUCCCCGGGGACCGCCGGCAGCGCGCAAACGUUCGCUGGCGGCGGUUCCAGCGCGAGGCUGAGAACGGUCCCUCCGGCGAUAGAGGCUGCGGGAGGCGGAGGGCCAGGAGCGGGCAGGGAGAGCGCGGGGGCGAAGGGAUGGCGGGCGUGCGAGGAGCGGGGGCGGCGGGCAGCAUGGCGGCGGCGGCCCCGCCCGAGGCGAUCUGGCCCCACUCUGACGGAUCCGUUAGCGGCACGCGUGAUUGACGGCCGCAGUCCCUGCGAUCACCGCAGCUGCGGUCAGGCAGCCGCAGCUCCUCGCUCAGAGCCCCGCGCAGCACCCCGAGACCCCGCGGGCCCGUCCGGGGGGGGAAGGGGCCUCUCCGGCGCUCCAGAUCUCGGCGGCCCCUCCGUGAUGGAGGGCGGCAGUAACCUCUCCGCGAUGCGGAGUGGCAGUGCCACCUCCCGUGACGGCACAGCAGCGUGGCCAGGGGGGCUCUGCUCGCCACGGUGUGCGCGGCUGGCGGGGGCUGUUGUCUGCCGUCCGCCUGAUACAGUGAUAGCGAUGCCGCCAAGCUACGGGAGGGGUUUGUUCUGUUCCUCUCCUUGAGAUUCUUGUCUAUGGACUCUGUAUUUUCUGGCAAAGCUGCAAACAGAAGGGAAUCAGAACUGAACUGAAUAAAAUCGCUGCCCUCACCCAGUGGUUAAAAACAAGCACGGGAAAGACACUGAAUCGGCCAGCAGUGAAGAACGGACCGUGGAGAUCACACGGCAUGGUGCGCGCAGGGACUCGGGAACAGCCGCUGCUGAUGUUCAAGGUGACCCCAACCCAGGCAGCGCCGUGCGGGAUGCCACAGGAAUUGCAGCGCUUGGGCGUGUGGGUGCUGCUAUCGACGCCCUCCCCCUUCCGCUCGGUCAGACACACCCAGCGCAGCAGCACAGCCUCGUUCGGGGCAUGGACCAAACUGCUGCUGCGGCUGCGGCCAACCCGAGCCGGCUGCACGUGCGGUCUGGAACCGAGCUGCUGUGUGUCAGCAUGGCGGCGCUGCCCCGUGCAGCGAGGCUCAGGUCCCAGAAGCACGCGGUGACAUCGGCUCCCAUCUUGCGAUCCCUUUUGUGCCCCCAGCAGACGACGUGUCUUCUCUCUGCAGACUGCGCUGCGCAGGGCGCACCGCUUCCCCCGCAGCAGCGCUGCUGACACAAAGCCGCAUCCGCCGCUAUUCCCACUGCUAAAGGGAGCCGCGUCCCCGCCCUCGUUCUACCGAACGGCACCGAACGCGGUGCUCGAGCACAGCGCGGCUCCCUGGGGAAGGCUCUGGGCAAACAGCUUCGGAGCCGCUGCGCCGACCGCAAAGGGCACAGUGGUCACCGGACGGGGCCCGCCGCCGCCCUCGGCCCCGGAGCCCGCGGCCUCCUCAGGUCGGGCCCGGCACUCAGGGCGCGGCUCUGGUGCGGCGCGGCGCGCGGUCCCCCCUCGAGUCCCCCCGCGCUCCUCCGCCAGCACCGUCGGCACCGAAUGGCCACGGCGCGCCCGGCACGGGCAGGGCGUGCGCCAGCCGCGAGCCCGGAUGGGCGGCGGGCCGGGUUCGGGCCGAGCCCCCCCCCCCAAGUCCGCGCCGAACCCAAGCGGGCCGCGGCCGGGCAGAUCGCGGCUCCUGGGAGCCCCAGCCGACGGUGCGCAUGCCCGACGCGGCUCCGUGAAGGUCAGCCGCGGCCUCGCGGGGACGCGCGGGCGGGGGCGGCCGGGCCGCGGUAGGGAACGGCCUUAACCCUUUCCGCGCCGCGUCCGCGUCGAGCGGCGCCCCGGGAUGCGACCGCCGUGCGGGGAGAGCUGAGGAGCCGCGGGGCGGCGUGGUUGGGGCACGCGCCCAUCGGAGCCGUCGCGAUGACGGCCGCAGCGCCCCGCGGUCUGUUUCCAUCACCGCCGGCGCUGUACGAUGGGUGGCGGGGAGGCUGCUGCACCACGGCAGGCUUCAGGGUGGGGUUUUGUUCGUGUUUUUGACCCGCUGCAGAUUAAGCGACGCGAGCAGCUGCUCCUGGCUCGGCCUGCAGCCGGCUACAUCCUGCAGCACCAGGACGGGGCGGGAAGCGUUACUGGAUUGCAAGUGAAUGCAACAGAGUAAGUAUUGUCCUCUGUCUGGAUGUUCUUAGCAGCUCUAUAACGAGAGUUACAAAGAACAUCGCAUAAGCAGGUCGGCCACCUGAAAAUAAGGGAGCUGCAGACACUUAAUGAGACUUCAGUGACGACUGUUAUGUACCGAUAACACUCAGCCCUUACUCAGUACAAUUGUAGCUCACAAAGUCCUAUAGGAAAUGCACUUACACAACAAAUAGAUGAAGGUUACAGUGCAAGCGUGUCUUCUCUCCAGAGAAAAACCAUACAAUUUUAUUUGAAAUUCAUUUUUUUCCUAUUUCCCCCAUGUAUUUUCUUUCAAAAGUGUAGAAAAUAAACGUUAUUUGCUGCUGCUGUUUUUAAGAGCUGCCUGGCUCAACCCAUCUCUCUCUCUUCCCCAGCUGCCCUGCGGCUCCCUGCCACGUCUGGCCCUGAUGGCAGCGGCCGGCAGACCCUGCAGUACUUGUGUUCCUUCACCUCUUCUCAUCCCUCCAUUGCUCCCUUCAGCCCCACUUUGUGCUAUGUCCUUAACUCACUUUACUCAGGUUUCAGGGAGAGCUGACAUUUGUCCUCCUUAUCUGGGCUGUCGGAGGCCAUCUUUUCUCCCACAGAUUUGCUUGGUUUGUUUUUACUUCUUUGCUAUUUUAAACUAUGCUGGUCAGGCUAAAAAAGCAGAAACACAAGUUGUGGGAGGGGAGGAAUAUGUUUGCAGCUGCAUUCGAUUUUUCAAUUAAUAGUAGUUAAAGAAAUACAUCAAGGUUGCUCUAAAAGGGCCUGGUUUCUCUCAUCCGAUUUUCACUUAGGCCAGCAGGGCUCAGAAACGUAAAGCAGAGACUCACAGAACAUCCAGAGUUGGAAGGGACCCACGGGGGUCACUGAGUCCAACCCCCAGCUCAAAACAGAACCGCACACACAUCAGGCCGUGUCUGAGAGCGCCGUCCAGAGGCUUCUUGAGGUCCGGCAGCUCAGGGCUGUGCCUGCCAGACACCCUAUGCCCACCACCCUCCGGGCAUAGCCUUUCCCUCACCCCCACCCAACCCUCCCAUGACAGCUCCAUGCUCUUCCGUCAGGCGCUGUUGCUGUCAGCAUUGAGCAGAACUCAGCACUGCCCGUUUGCUCCCUGUGAGGAGCUGCAGGGCCAUGAGGGGCUGUAGGCCCACCAUGAAGAGCUGCAGGCCACUGUGAGGGAGCUGUGGACCAUCCUGAGGAGCUGCAAGAUGCUGUGAGGCCUAUCCUCAGUCUCCUCUGGACUGAACAAACCAAAGGAUUUCAGCUGCUCUUCUCACAUGUUCCUCUCUGGACCCCUCCCCAUCUUCAUAGCCUUCCUUUGGACACUCUAACAGUUUGAUGUCCUUUUUGUACUGUGAUGCCCAAAACAAUACACAGCACUCAGUGUGAGGCCGCACCAAUGCCUUGUAAAGCAGGAUGGUCAUUUCCCUCAGCUGGCCAGCAGGGCUGUGCUUGAUGCACCCCAGGGCACAGUUGGUCUUCCUGGCUACCUGGGCACACUGUUGGCUCACGUUCAAUUUGCUGUCAAUCGAGACCCCCAAAUCUCCUUCAGUGGGGCUCCUACCCAGCACCUCAUCUCCGGUAUUCCCAACAGUUUUGGAAUUUAUGCAGUAUUGCAUAAGAACCAAACAGAGACAGAAAAUAUCCUGAGAUGGAGGUUCCGCAUAUUCUAAAGAAAUGGUAACCUGUUCCUGAGUUCAGAAUUAUUCAGUAUUCUCAUGAACAAUACAGAUAAUGAACUAGAGAGCAUGCUGAUUAAAUACGGUUUGCAGUGGUCGCAGGUAUGUUGUGAGAGUCAUAACUGAAAUCCCAAAAAGCUGGGGAUGUAGUUUGAAAGAGCAGGACAUAAUGCAACCAGAAAGAGCACAGGCUUUCAGACCGAGCCGUGGAUCAACAACUGCAUAAAGAGACAAAGGAGAAAACUGAUGGUGGUAUUUUGGUUGGGUUUUUUGUUUGGUUUUUGCUUCUUUUUUCAGAAAAAAAUAUAUUUAGUGAUACAACCUCAUAAGGUGAAUGAGAAUUAAUAGGACUAUGCUUACACCAGGUAAACACACACACACAAAACCAGGUGAGCAUUAACAAUGAGUGCUGCCCCACUGCUCUCAUCCCCUUGGUGGCAGCAAAAGCAGUGACAAUGGCACUCCAGAUUCUUAUCUGUCUCCACUUUUUGUGUACGCUUUCUACCCAUCCCUUCUCUGUGAGGCACCAACUGUCCCAGCUCAAGAUCUCCCUGAGGCUGCAAAAUUAACUUUUGUAAAUACUGGUAAGGAACCCUUCCAAAGUAAUCCUUCUGCUGUGUUAUGCACUGUUAGCAUCUCAGCAAAACUAUGCAGUUCGGGGCUCUGUGUGAAAGAAAAUGUGUGUGGGAGAAAUGAAGAUGGUUCAAGGAAAACAUAAUUGUGAUAAGAACUGUAAAGCCUAAAGAGGGAAAGAGAAAAUAACUGCCACAAGGCUGCUGCAAAUAUGGAGAAGAGCUACUCUGCUCUUCUGAAAUUUAAAUUUCUCCCGGAAGAUUCAGAUAUUAAAGAAGAGUACAGCAGUAAAAGCAGAAAUGUUCUGGGAUACUUUUCCCAUCAGGGAUGGAUUCAAACUCAAAGACGGAAGAUUUAGAUUGUAUACAAAGAAAAGAUCUAUUACAGUGAGGGUGGUGAGGUACUGGAACAGGUUGCCCAGAGAUGUGGUUGAUGCCCCAUCCCUAGAGACUUUCAGGCCAAGGCUGGAUCAGGCCCUGGGCAACCUGAUAUAGCUGUGGUGUCCCUGUGCAGCGCAGGGGAGUUGGACCAGAUAGCCUUCAGAGGUCACUCCCAACUCUAAAGAUCCUGUGAUUCCAUGACCUCCAAAACUGAAGGUCUUUAGGAAGAUGUCAGAUAAGCAUCUGCUUUGAGUGAUGCAGCUGGUGUUGAUUCUGACAUGGAGCAGGACAGGUGAUGAGCUGAUUCCUAGUGGUUUCUUUUGCCCUAUUUGCCUCCAUAAACUGCAUGGAAUUUUGUGAGACAAAGAUAUGACUUUCUCCACCCAGAGUGGUUCCCCUUGACCAGCUUCACAGAUCUGCUUCAAAACAAGUGUAAGGUGAUCAAAAAGGCUCGCUUAAAGUUUUGAUUUUAGAAAAAGAGUAAGUAUUUGACUGCUGCCAGUUCCCCUUGAAAGUUACCAGGUACCAUACAGCCUUUAUACUGUGGCCCUUCACAUUUUCCUUGACCUUCAACUACCAUUCUAUAUAACCCUAUAUAGACAUAUCACUUCAUGUUAGACCUUUCCAUUGGGUUUCCAAAUCUGUUUGCAAUGAAGAAAUCCUAUGAGCAAUUUGUAGCAAGCAUAAAGAAAAAAAGGUUUGAAAUAGAGGCAAUGAAGAAUAAGUAAAGGCAAAGAAAAAUGUCUGUCUUUCUCCAGAGUUUCCAAACAUAACUGCAGAGGUAAGGAGAUAAUUAAAAACACAUGUCCUGAUUAUCUUACAAGUAAUCACAGACAACAGCAGGGAUGCCAAAAGGUGGAGAAAAAGAUCCAUAAUACUUUAAGAUCUACAUCUACUGCCCCCUAGACCAAAAGAAGGCGGGUAUUUUAUGGUACUUAAUUAGAGUGAUGGGUUGGGGUGUUUGGUAGCAGCACCAUGAAGGAUUCACUCACAAUCACAAAUGGACUGAACACAGAGGAGGGAAUUGCUGGGCCAGUAAGGCUGGUGCUGUAUAAUCAACAGCAGCCAUGUCACAGACAUACAUUUACUGCAUUGCCCUUUAAGCCUUGGCCUUAUUGAACAGCUGCUAAAAAUAGAAGAAAAAAAAAGUUAUCUGAAUGACUUUUUUUUUUUAAGUCUGUCUGGCUCUUUGUCAUUUGUUUUCAUCAACUUUGCCCUUCUUUAAGUCUAACAUUUCUGGUCUGGGGCAUUUACAGACAGCAGUCACAACCCGCACUAAGUCACCCUUUGCCAGGCUAAACAAGUGAGACCCAUACUUGGUCUCUUCAAACAGAAAUGCCCAUUUCUAUCAUUUCAUCAAGUUUUCUUAAAUAACUCCUGGUUAAUCUACCUAGAACAUGGGUAAGCAGGACCGUACCUGUAUUCUCAAAGGCCAUGUAACAGUAUAGCAUUGACACUUCUCUUACCAGCAGAACCCUCAAUGAAAUUUUCCAAGAUUCACAACCACUUUCCACAGUGUUACGACAGUGACAACUCCAAGUUCUGCUGCAGUACAGUUGCAGCAAUACACAGGGCUGUUUGUCGCACUGCCACUAGGUAAGCCUUCAGCUCACAGUGCUGACUCCUAUUACCAGCCCUUGAGAGCACAGCUGUGAGCUGCACUGUCAUCAGAGACUGAUUUCUACUUGUUGGUCUUCAGAAUCACUCAGUUCGGCACGAUAACUUACUCUCUUGCUUCAACAAUCCCUGCAUAAUUUGCAUCAUCAACACUUUUCAUUUCUGUGCUUCCUGUCAUUUGUGCCAUGGGCUUUAGUGAAAAAAUAUUAAAUGGCAUUAAUCCCAAGAUAAUUCCUGAAAAAAUGCAAGGCCUGUUGCUUCAUUUUCCUUACCUGCCUUGCCAUUCUUCUAUCAUUACCUGUCCUGAAUCUCAACUACAUUUUCAGAUAGCGCUGUCUCAGAGGCUUCACUGAAGUCCAGUUAAAUAAGACACACAAUUAUUCCUUUUUGUUGAAAAUUAGCCAGAAAUCCAUUAAAUUAGUAAACUUACACAGCUCUUUUAUCCCAUUUACCAUUUAUGUCCUCCUCAUGCUUAGUUAUUUUAUUUUCCCUUCAGCCACACAUAGGCUUAGGAUUACAGCAGUGCAACUGCCUGCAGUGUUUUUGCCCAUCUGUAAUAUAGAGAAACGAACUGGAUUUCCUCUUUCUUUAUUAGGAAAAAAUCUUUUUUGAAAGCCCCUUUUGGUUAAUAAUGCCAUGUUUAUAUCCUGGUUUCAAUGAAAAUCAUUUGAAAAAAAUCUAUAGUUUGAGUAAAUCAAUAAUGAGUAAAUAGUUACUGAGGGCUGCAUUCAUAUACAAAAACAUGUGAGACGUGACAACUCACAAAGCACAGAGAGGCUGCAGAAGGCACAUAACCAAAGAAGGAGAACAGAGCAAUCUUGGCAUACAGUAAUAAAUUCACCUCUCACUUCAGCUACACUAGCAGAACAGUUAUUAGGUGAACAAAAUCACAACAGUCUGGGAGCACAAUGGAGCUGAAGGUGAUAAGUAAUAAUGGUAAUUAUUAAAGAAAAACCCAAAAAACAACCAGCAACGAUAUUGCUAAACAAGCCCAAGUGACUUUUUAAAUCAUUUUAUUUGGCAAAAUAAUCACAAAGUUAUGAAAAGAUGACCCCUGAGAAAAGGAAAUUUUCAUCUCAGGCAGUGCAUUAUUACAGCAAACAUCGACAGCUUUGAGAAAUGGCAGCCAGAAGUAAAAUGGCAAAAGCAACUUGAAUGUAAUGCAGGGAAACAUGUCUGAAAUUCUGACUGUGAACACCCAAUGUCCAACAAAACAAACAGCAAGUAAAAGGUUGUAAACAAAAUGUCACAAGGAUGACGAGUGGUGGAAGACAAGGAGCUGCCAGCAGGUCUGGGGAUGGCUGGGCUGUUCUAGGCAGGUUUUUGUCUGUUUGCUGGUUUCUUUCUUUCUUUCAUUUUUUUACCAUCUUCAGAGAUGUACAUGAGAAGACGCGGGGAAAGUUUCACAGUCGUUUGGGUCGAAAGACAAAAAAAAAAUCAAAUGGGCAUUAAAGUAUCAGGAGAUUUUGGCUGGAAAAACACAAGGCAGCAGUGGAAGGUCAGUCCUGAAGGAGCUGUGAUACGCCUAUAGCAGCAGGUAGGACAUUUUCCAAGCCUUCCAGCUUUUCAUUCUCCUGGUAUAUAAAUACACAUGAAAUCAGGAGUACGGAAAUGCCAGGCACAGCUGCUUAUGGCACAGUGACAUGAUUACAGUGCUAAGGCUGUGGCUGGACUAUGUGCUUUCAGCUGAGCCUUUUUUUUGAGCAACCCAAUGCUGCAAAAGCAGUAAACCACUGGCUGCAGCGCUGGGCAGUGGUUUCCCUCCUUGUCUCUCCCACCAUAUAAUAGGCACAGCAGGUUGGCAGGCUACAGCUCACAGCAACAAACUCCACUUGGCAACGAGAUCAUUAAGCCAUAUAGUAACAUGCUGCCUAUGCUCCCAGGAGGACAGGGCACGUAAAUGGUAGCACAGGUUAGUUGUAGUAGACCUCAAAAAUGCUGGGGUUGGAAGAAGCAUUAGUGGAAUCCUUCUGGUGUGCAGUGCUUUGCAAAAUAAAUAAUUUACAUUGCUUACACUAACAAUUAGCUGG
This 9682-nucleotide long non-coding RNA is filed under the name Gallus gallus (chicken). Lineage: Eukaryota; Metazoa; Chordata; Aves; Galliformes; Phasianidae. The record is from RNAcentral.